This is a long non-coding RNA of Carassius gibelio (silver crucian carp), 1976 nucleotides long. RefSeq lists it as uncharacterized. The record is from RefSeq and is a predicted model, not a curated record. Lineage: Eukaryota; Metazoa; Chordata; Actinopteri; Cypriniformes; Cyprinidae. The transcript is spliced from 12 exons.
GUUCUGUCCGUUUUGUGCUGUGCAACUGGGGGAUGCUCCCAAGUUUUGCCCGUCGUGUGGUAUGAACGUGGGGUUCCUUACGGAGCGUCCAUCCACGUCAUCAAGCGUAGGCCAUGGGCCUACAGUGAAUGAGACAAGUAUCCAAGGAAGAGCAGCUCAAUUCAUGAGGUUCAGGGAAGUUAAAGAGGCUGAGAGGAGGACCUUUUCAAAGGCUAAAAAGAAACCAAACAUUACGGUCAAGAUAUCGAUUGGCAUAAUGACCAGAACAAAAUAUGGGUUAAAACCUAAGGGGGAAAACCUUGCCAUUAAAUGUUGAACCCCUGUGGUCAUCAAAACAAAUUUUGCCAGCUGCUAUAAAAAAACAGCGAGAUUUUAAUCAAGACACAAUGUACGAUGGAGAAUAUGUCCUGGUCUAUCCUGAUGGCUCUCAGGUACAAAAUAUACCAGGCACAGACAGACCCUUUGUCCUUGAACAUUAUAAAGAGGCCAUUGGAAAGACUUACCAGAGGAUCGUACUGUACAUCUGCCCCCUUCAGGAUUUGAGUCAUGGAGAUGACUCAUUUUCAGAAUCUGAUGAUGAAGCAUUUGCUAGGCUUCCACUGAAAAUUUUACCAAAACAAUGUCCACCAACAAUGUCCAGGCCAUCUGAUGGGCAAGCCAACGGAGCAGGAGCAGAACCAAAAAACAACACAUCAUGUGACUCCUACAACACAUAUACCAAGAUCUAUGCCCCAGUUGUCAUUGACAGCAGUUGCUCUGAUGUUGAGGACGUAGAGAACUUUCAGAAGGAAGACAGAGACACCGAUAUUGGACUGACGGCUGCAGACAUUCUGUCAAAUCUGUCAUUCAACAUUAACACAAUGAGCUGUAGCAGGUUUAAUAUAAACCGUGCUAAUGUCUGGGACCAAUGUCUGGUGCUCUGAUUCAAACGUUCCUCAUUUGACCCCACCUGAAGCCUUUUGGUCAAAUUCACCGAUGACAUCGGGCAAACAGAGGAGGCUGUGGACACAGGAGGGCCUACGCGGGAAUUUCUUACACUCUUGAUGGACGCCAUUAAAACCAGUAGAUUUUUUGAAGGCAAAGAUGAUGGCAAAUACCUGUCAUUUGAUAGCAAAGCUGCAGAAGGUGAUGAGUAUUUCCAGGUUGGAAGAAUGGCUGCGGUCUCUAUUGUACAUGGUGGUCCAGGGCCUCGAUGCUUUUCCCCAAGCUUCUACCAGUACCUGGUUGGUAAAGUGAAGACCAUUGAGGCCCCAAUUGAGGAUAUACCUGAUACUGAAGUCAGGAAUGUUCUCCUUGAGAUUAAGAAUGCUAGAACAUUGGAGGAACUCGUAGAACUCGCAGAUAAGCACUCCAGCAUGCUUCAGACAGCAGGAUGCUAUCGAUGCCUGAGGACACUGGGGGAUAAGGAAAAAGUUGUGGAUGGUUACAUCCAGUGGUAAUUCACCUACCGCAACCAUGUUUCCUUCCAGAGGUUCAAGGAUGGCCUGGCUACCCUCAACUUUUUCAACGCUCUGGAACAGCAUCCCUCCAUUUUCCUGCCCUACAUGUGUUACAGAGCGGAAGACCUGACAGCCGAGAGUGUAGAGUCACUGUUCCGUCCACAAUUGAGCCCAACUGGUAGCUCAAAUCGGCAUGAGGAGGAGAGAGUGCUUGGCUACUGGCUGGACUACUUAAUCGCUGUAAAAGAGGACGGGUCAGGGAUGUCUCUGCAGGACAUUCUAAUGUUUGCAACAGGCCUGAAAGAAAUCCCAGCAGCAAAAUUAAUACCACAGCCUCAACUCACAUUCCAGAAACACGCAAGGUUUCCUGAGGCUAAUGUCUGCGCUAACACAAUAAAACUCCCGAUCUUACCCUCAUAUGAAAUCUUUGAGGAAGCCAUGAAUUAUGGAAUCAAGAACGCCCCUGGAUUUGGGCUUCAUUGAGGUGUCAAUCAGAAAUUAACAUUCGUGGCAAAUUUGCAUUACUGUUGUUACUGU